RNAcentral lists this ribosomal RNA (424 nucleotides) under uncultured prokaryote. RNAcentral's name for it is "bacterial SSU rRNA". It matches the Rfam family "Bacterial small subunit ribosomal RNA", at positions 355 to 796 of the family's 1533-position model. The record is from RNAcentral.
UGGGGAAUAUUGCGCAAUGGGGGAAACCCUGACGCAGCCAUGCCGCGUGAGUGAAGAAGGUCUUCGGAUCGUAAAGCUCUUUCAACGGUGAAGAUGAUGACGGUAGCCGUAGAAGAAGCCCCGGCUAACUUCGUGCCAGCAGCCGCGGUAAUACGAAGGGGGCAAGCGUUGUUCGGAAUUACUGGGCGUAAAGGGCGUGUAGGCGGUCUAAUCAGUCAGAGGUGAAAGCCCUGGGCUCAACCCAGGAAUUGCCUUUGAUACUGUUAGACUAGAGUUCGGGAGAGGGUAGUGGAAUUCCCAGUGUAGAGGUGAAAUUCGUAGAUAUUGGGAAGAACACCAGUGGCGAAGGCGGCUACCUGGACCGAUACUGACGCUGAGGCGCGAAAGCGUGGGGAGCAAACAGGAUUAGAUACCCCCGUAGUCC